RNAcentral lists this ribosomal RNA (1314 nucleotides) under unidentified marine bacterioplankton. RNAcentral describes it as "bacterial SSU rRNA". It matches the Rfam family "Bacterial small subunit ribosomal RNA", at positions 9 to 1371 of the family's 1533-position model. The record is from RNAcentral.
GAGUUUGAUCAUGGCUCAGGAUGAACGCUGGCGGCGUGCUUAACACAUGCAAGUCGAACGAACCUUCGGGUUAGUGGCGGACGGGUGAGUAACGCGUGAGAAUCUGCCCUCAGGAGGGGGAUAACGGUUGGAAACGACCGCUAAUACCCCAUAUGCCGCGAGGUGAAAUGAAUUUCGCCUGAGGAUGAGCUCGCGUCUGAUUAGCUAGUUGGUGGGGUAAAGGCCUACCAAGGCAUCGAUCAGUAGCUGGUCUGAGAGGAUGAUCAGCCACACUGGGACUGAGACACGGCCCAGACUCCUACGGGAGGCAGCAGUGGGGAAUUUUCCGCAAUGGGCGAAAGCCUGACGGAGCAACGCCGCGUGAGGGAUGAAGGCCUCUGGGCUGUAAACCUCUUUUAUCAAGGAAGAAGAUCUGACGGUACUUGAUGAAUAAGCCACGGCUAAUUCCGUGCCAGCAGCCGCGGUAAUACGGGAGUGGCAAGCGUUAUCCGGAAUUAUUGGGCGUAAAGCGUCCGCAGGCGGCCCUUCAAGUCUGCUGUUAAAAAGUGGAGCUUAACUCCAUCAUGGCAGUGGAAACUGUUGGGCUUGAGUGUGGUAGGGGCAGAGGGAAUUCCCGGUGUAGCGGUGAAAUGCGUAGAUAUCGGGAAGAACACCAGUGGCGAAGGCGCUCUGCUGGGCCAUCACUGACGCUCAUGGACGAAAGCCAGGGGAGCGAAAGGGAUUAGAUACCCCUGUAGUCCUGGCCGUAAACGAUGAACACUAGGUGUCGGGGGAAUCGACCCCCUCGGUGUCGUAGCCAACGCGUUAAGUGUUCCGCCUGGGGAGUACGCACGCAAGUGUGAAACUCAAAGGAAUUGACGGGGGCCCGCACAAGCGGUGGAGUAUGUGGUUUAAUUCGAUGCAACGCGAAGAACCUUACCAGGGUUUGACAUCCUGCGAAUCUCUUGGAAACGAGAGAGUGCCUUCGGGAACGCAGUGACAGGUGGUGCAUGGCUGUCGUCAGCUCGUGUCGUGAGAUGUUGGGUUAAGUCCCGCAACGAGCGCAACCCACGUCUUUAGUUGCCAGCAUUCAGUUGGGCACUCUAGAGAGACCGCCGGUGAUAAACCGGAGGAAGGUGUGGAUGACGUCAAGUCGUCAUGCCCCUUACAUCCUGGGCUACACACGUACUACAAUGCUACGGACAGAGGGCAGCAAGUUCGCGAGGACAAGCAAAUCCCAUAAACCGUGGCUCAGUUCAGAUCGUAGGCUGCAACUCGCCUACGUGAAGGAGGAAUCGCUAGUAAUCGCAGGUCAGCAUACUGCGGUGAAUACGU